AUUGAACGCUGGCGGCAGGCUUAACACACGCAAGUCGAGCGGGGGAAGGUAGCUUGCUACCGGACCUAGCGGCGGACGGGUGAGUAAUGCUUAGGAAUCUGCCUAUUAGUGGGGGACACCAUUUCGAAAGGGAUGCUAAUACCGCAUACGUCCUACGGGAGAAAGCAGGGGAUCUUCGGACCUUGCGCUAAUAGAUGAGCCUAAGUCGGAUUAGCUAGUUGGUGGGGUAAAGGCCUACCAAGGCGACGAUCUGUAGCGGGUCUGAGAGGAUGAUCCGCCACACUGGGACUGAGACACGGCCCAGACUCCUACGGGAGGCAGCAGUGGGGAAUAUUGGACAAUGGGGGGAACCCUGAUCCAGCCAUGCCGCGUGUGUGAAGAAGGCCUUAUGGUUGUAAAGCACUUUAAGCGAGGAGGAGGCUACUCUUGGUUAAUACCCAAGAUGAGUGGACGUUACUCGCAGAAUAAGCACCGGCUAACUCUGUGCCAGCCGCCGCCGUAA
Molecule: ribosomal RNA, 502 nt
Filed under: uncultured bacterium
Lineage: Bacteria
Description: partial 16S ribosomal RNA
Rfam family: Bacterial small subunit ribosomal RNA
Source: RNAcentral